RNAcentral lists this ribosomal RNA (170 nucleotides) under Bellator xenisma (splitnose searobin). RNAcentral describes it as "partial small subunit ribosomal RNA". The record is from RNAcentral. Lineage: Eukaryota; Metazoa; Chordata; Actinopteri; Perciformes; Triglidae.
CACCGCGGUUAUACGAGAGGCCCAAGUUGAUAGCCACCGGCGUAAAGCGUGGUUUAGGUAAAAUAACUUAAUAAAGCCGAAGGCCCUCAAAGCAGUCAUACGCAUUCGAGAGGCAGAAGCACAAUAACGAAAGUGGCUUUAAACUACUUGACCCCACGAGAGCUAUGGCA